AUGUUCGUAAUUCCCUUCAUGACUCGUUUAGGAAUAACGGAUUCGUGGGGUGGUUGGAGUAUUUCAGGAGGAAUUGUAACAAAUCCGGGUAUUUGGAGUUAUGAAGGUGUGGCAGGUACGCAUAUUGUGUUUUCUGGCUUGUGUUUCUUGGCAGCGAUCUGGCAUUGGGUAUAUUGGGACCUAGAAAUAUUCUCUGAUGAGCGGAUGGGAAAACCCUCUUUGGAUUUUCCCAAGAUCUUUGGAAUUCAUUUAUUUCUUGCAGGGGUGGCUUGCUUUGGCUUUGGGGCAUUUCAUGUAACGGGUUUGUAUGGUCCUGGGAUAUGGGUAUCCGAUCCUUAUGGACUAACUGGAAAAGUACAAGCUGUAAAUCCAGUGUGGGGUGCAGAAGGUUUUGAUCCUUUUGUUCCGGGGGAAAUAGCUUCUCAUCAUAUUUCUGCGGGUACAUUGGGUAUAUUAGCGGGCUUAUUCCAUCUUAGUGUCCGUCCGCCUCAACGUCUAUAUAAAGGAUUACGUAUGGGCAAUAUUGAAACUAUACUUUCCAGUAGUAUCGCUGCUUUUUUUGCAGCUUUCGUAGUUGCUGGAACUAUGUGGUAUGGGUCAGCAACGACCCCAAUCGAAUUAUUUGGGCCUACUCGUUAUCACUGGGAUCAGGGAUACUUUCAGCAAGAAAUAUAUCGAAGAGUUAGCAAUGGUUUAGCCGAAAAUCUUAGUUUAUCAGAAACUUGGUCUAAAAUUCCCAAAUUAGCCUUUUAUGAUUAUAUUGGUAAUAAUCCGGCAAAAGGGGGAUUAUUCAGAGCAGGCUCAAUGGACAAUGGGGAUGGAAUAGCUGUUGGAUGGUUAGGACAUCCCGUCUUUUGA
This 858-nucleotide ribosomal RNA is filed under the name Triticum aestivum (bread wheat). Its description in RNAcentral is "partial small subunit ribosomal RNA". The record is from RNAcentral. Lineage: Eukaryota; Viridiplantae; Streptophyta; Magnoliopsida; Poales; Poaceae.